Molecule: ribosomal RNA, 274 nt
Filed under: uncultured bacterium
Lineage: Bacteria
Description: partial 16S ribosomal RNA
Rfam family: Bacterial small subunit ribosomal RNA
Source: RNAcentral
AGACGAACCGUCCAGACGUUAUUCGGAAUUACUGGGCUUAAAGGGUGCGUAGGCGGCUUGGCAAGUUGGGUGUGAAAUCCCACGGCUCAACCGGGGAACUGCGCUCAAAACUGCUUAGCUAGAGGGAGAUAGAGGUGAGCGGAACUAAUGGUGGAGCGGUGAAAUGCGUUGAUAUCAUUAGGAACACCUGUGGCGAAAGCGGCUCACUGGAUCUUUUCUGACGCUGAGGCACGAAAGCUAGGGUAGCGAACGGGAUUAGAAACCCCAGUAGUCC